Molecule: ribosomal RNA, 513 nt
Filed under: Pseudomonas sp.
Lineage: Bacteria; Pseudomonadati; Pseudomonadota; Gammaproteobacteria; Pseudomonadales; Pseudomonadaceae
Description: bacterial SSU rRNA
Rfam family: Bacterial small subunit ribosomal RNA
Source: RNAcentral
GAGCGGUUGAGGAAGCUUGCUUCCUGAUUCAGCGGCGGACGGGUGAGUAAUGCCUAGGAAUCUGCCUGGUAGUGGGGGACAACGUUUCGAAAGGAACGCUAAUACCGCAUACGUCCUACGGGAGAAAGCAGGGGACCUUCGGGCCUUGCGCUAUCAGAUGAGCCUAGGUCGGAUUAGCUAGUUGGUGAGGUAAUGGCUCACCAAGGCGACGAUCCGUAACUGGUCUGAGAGGAUGAUCAGUCACACUGGAACUGAGACACGGUCCAGACUCCUACGGGAGGCAGCAGUGGGGAAUAUUGGACAAUGGGCGAAAGCCUGAUCCAGCCAUGCCGCGUGUGUGAAGAAGGUCUUCGGAUUGUAAAGCACUUUAAGUUGGGAGGAAGGGCAGUCAGCGAAUACCUUGCUGUCUUGACGUUACCGACAGAAUAAGCACCGGCUAACUCUGUGCCAGCAGCCGCGGUAAUACAGAGGGUGCAAGCGUUAAUCGGAAUUACUGGGCGUAAAGCGCGCGUA